Lolium rigidum is the source of this 592-nucleotide long non-coding RNA. RefSeq lists it as uncharacterized. The transcript is spliced from 3 exons. Lineage: Eukaryota; Viridiplantae; Streptophyta; Magnoliopsida; Poales; Poaceae. The record is from RefSeq and is a predicted model, not a curated record.
GCAGCCUAUGAGGCGGCGCCCGAACCCGCCCCAGGCUCAGAUCGACCAACAGACCGAGGCCUGAACAUCCACCUCGCUCACCAGUGCUCAUUUUCAGCAUCGCAUCCAUCUCCAUUUGGAUGAGUGCUCCAGGCGAGUCGUCCUGCUGCAGGCCAGAUCGGGACCCCUUGCAUCACCUCGCCCCAUUGGUCGACACUGCGCCAAGGGAACAUGAUGGGAGGGUGAUGUCUUCUGAGGUUUACAUCCUUGGUCAUCUUAUCUGAAGCUAAUGUUGUUGUUUUGCGUAAUCUGCUCAUGCAAGAAUCAAGCACUUCUACAAAAAGGAGGCACAGCAGGUGUUUUCCCGAUUUGCAGAACCUCUGGCUUCCAAGUUAACUGAUCAGCUUCAUAGAGACAAGCAAUAAAAGGAUCGUCUAGCUGGAGAUACUGUAAAUCCUGCUGCUACAUAAUUACAAAUUGUAUCCGUGCAUGACUUGUAUCCAUGGAAAUUUCUGGAGGGCAUCUCUUACACGAUACAUAUAUUUCACGACAUAGUUUCUUAUGGUGCAACACGCCUGAAAACAGAUGAAAUGGAUUACACCUUUGAUAACUA